CCUACGUGAGGCAGCAGUGAGGAAUAUUGGUCAAUGGACGAGAGUCUGAACCAGCCAAGUAGCGUGAAGGAUGACUGCCCCAUGGGUUGUAAACUUCUUUUAUAAAGGAAUAAAACGAGGCACGUGUGCCUUUUUGCAUGUACUUUAUGAAUAAGGAUCGGCUAACUCCGUGCCAGCAGCCGCGGUCAUACGGAGGAUCCGAGCGUUAUCCGGAUUUAUUGGGUUUAAAGGGAGCGUAGAUGGGUUGUUAAGUCAGUUGUGAAAGUUUGCGGCUCAACCGUAAAAUUGCAUUUGAUACUGGCAGUCUUGAGUACAGAUGAGGUAGGCGGAAUGCGUGGUGUAGCGGUGAAAUGCUUAGAUAUCACGAAGAACCCCGAGUGCGAAGGCAGCUUACUAAACUGUGACUGACGUUGAUGCACGAAAGUGUGGGUAUCAAACAGGAUUAGAUACCCUAGUAGUC
RNAcentral lists this ribosomal RNA (460 nucleotides) under uncultured bacterium. RNAcentral describes it as "partial 16S ribosomal RNA". It matches the Rfam family "Bacterial small subunit ribosomal RNA", at positions 338 to 795 of the family's 1533-position model. The record is from RNAcentral.